Long non-coding RNA from Panicum virgatum (switchgrass), 745 nucleotides. RefSeq lists it as uncharacterized. The record is from RefSeq and is a predicted model, not a curated record. The transcript is spliced from 2 exons. Lineage: Eukaryota; Viridiplantae; Streptophyta; Magnoliopsida; Poales; Poaceae.
UCGUUAUCCCUUCCCGCGCGCUCCCUCCCUAUCCAUCGCACUCCCUCCCUCCCGCCAUUGAUGUGGCCGUCGCCAUGGCUGCUUGGAGGCCGAGCUCUGCCUCCAUAUUCAAUAUUCCAUCCAUGAGCCAAAUUAAUCUAAUUCCUCACGGGGAUAGCAGCUCCAUGACCACCUCCCUCGAUCCCCUAACCCAGCCGGCCGAAUCCGCCACCGAAGAGACGUGCUGUCACACCAUGGUCGCCUAGAACAACUAACCUCGACCUCUCCGCUCGUUUGACGAGGAACGCAAAGUUGCCGCCACGGGUGCCGGUGGCCAUGUCGGCGAAUGUCGCCACCACAUUCUUCCUCGUCUCCGAAGAGCUCCAGUCACCAUCUACCCGCGCCAAGUGUGUCACUGUGUGUGCCUCGUAUUUCUGAACACCGUGGUAUGUUUCUUGGUUGCUGGUGAUCCUCGUAGUGCAGAACAUCGCCAUUCUAGACCUUUUGACCAUGGCACUUGGAGGCAGAGGAGGAAGAGGAGUUGCUGCUCGCGGUUGGAUUUAGAGAAGCUGUUGGAUUUCAUCAUAUUUUUGCUAGCUAUUUUGUUUUAUAUAAUAGCUAAAUCAGAAUUUUAGCUAUUCAUUUUUAGAGAAGUGGUUGGAGAUGCUCUUAGCGUGACUCUUGCCGAUGACAGCGAACUGUUUUGGCUCUCCUCCUUGGGUUAGAAUUUUGUAGCCCGUGGAGGCUAGCAAAGCUUGAAUUUUCU